CCUACGGGCGGCAGCAGUGGGGAAUAUUGGGCAAUGGAGGCAACUCUGACCCAGCAACGCCGCGUGAAUGAUGAAGGUCUUCGGAUUGUAAAGUUCUGUGAUGGGGGAUGAACACAAUGACGGUACCCCAAUAGCAAGCCACGGCUAACUACGUGCCAGCAGCCGCGGUAAUCCGUAGGUGGCAAGCGUUAUCCGGAAUGACUGGGCGUAAAGGGUGCGUAGGUGGUUUAGUAAGUUGGCGGUGUAAUUCCGGGGCGCAACCUCGGCGCUACCGCCAAAACUAUUAGACUAGAGUGCAGGAGGGGUAAGUGGAAUUCGUAGUGUAGCGGUGGAAUGCGUAGAUAUUAGGAGGAACAUCAGGGGCGAAGGCGACUUACUGGACUGUAACUGACACUGAGGCACGAAAGCGUGGGGAGCAAACAGGAUUAGAUACCCUAGUAGUC
RNAcentral lists this ribosomal RNA (443 nucleotides) under uncultured bacterium. Its description in RNAcentral is "partial 16S ribosomal RNA". It matches the Rfam family "Bacterial small subunit ribosomal RNA", at positions 338 to 795 of the family's 1533-position model. The record is from RNAcentral.